UUGGACAUGGGUGAGAGCCUGAUCCAGCCAUCCCGCGUGAAGGACGACGGCCCUAUGGGUUGUAAACUUCUUUUGUAUAGGGAUAAACCUACUCUCGUGAGAGUAGCUGAAGGUACUAUACGAAUAAGCACCGGCUAACUCCGUG
RNAcentral lists this ribosomal RNA (145 nucleotides) under uncultured bacterium. RNAcentral describes it as "partial 16S ribosomal RNA". It matches the Rfam family "Bacterial small subunit ribosomal RNA", at positions 364 to 507 of the family's 1533-position model. The record is from RNAcentral.